This is a non-coding RNA of Xyrichtys novacula (pearly razorfish), 705 nucleotides long. Lineage: Eukaryota; Metazoa; Chordata; Actinopteri; Labriformes; Labridae. The record is from the annotation of a GenBank genome assembly.
CCACCAUCAGGCCUUCAUGAUUCCUCCACAAUCCUGUGGUAUCCUGUGUUGCACCUCGGUCACGCCAUAACUGUUUGUCUAUUUCAGAGGCCACUUCUUGCAUUGAGACUAUGUCUUUGAGGGUGAUUUUAUCUUCUAAGUCUACUUCAUGAGUGACCAGAAGAACUUUGCCUUCUUUAUCUGCCCCUGUAACAGCUUUUGCAGCCUCAUCAGCUGCUCUGUUGCCCUGACUUACUCUUGACAUGUCCCCUUUAUGUGCUGCACACUUAGCUAUUGCUAUUUCUUUUGGCUUCAUCAUUGCAUGCAGCAAUUUGGUUAUCUGGGCAUGAUGCUGUAUAGGAGACCCAUCUGUUUUCUUAAAUCCCCGAUUUUUCCACAGUGCUCCGAACAAGUGACAAACAUUAUGUGCAUAUGCAGAGUUUGUGUAAAUUGUCACUCGUUUGUCUUCUGCCAAAAGACAUGCUUCGGUUAGUCCUACAAGUUCAGCCAGCUGUGCAGAUGCUGGUUGUUGCACUGUUUUUGCCUUUUCGACAACAAAUCCAUCUCCUUCAGCUUUUACAACUGCAUAGCCAGCGCUCAAUUUGUCUCCUAUCCGAUAACACGACCCAUCAGUCCAAUACUCUACAUCUGAUUUCUGAAGUGGAAGGGCUUGCAAGUCUGACCGUAGUUUUGAAUGUCUCUCUGAUUCCUUCACACAAUCAUGUG